This 169-nucleotide ribosomal RNA is filed under the name Aplanochytrium stocchinoi. RNAcentral describes it as "partial Eukaryotic large subunit ribosomal RNA". It matches the Rfam family "Eukaryotic large subunit ribosomal RNA", at positions 3034 to 3203 of the family's 3401-position model. The record is from RNAcentral. Lineage: Eukaryota; Bigyra; Thraustochytrida; Thraustochytriidae.
ACGAGAGUAACUGCUCAUUCGGAUAAUUGGUAUUUGCAGCUGUCCGAUCGGGCAAUGCUGCGAAGCUAUCAUCCGCUAGAUUAUGGCUGAACGCCUCUAAGUCAGAAUCUGUGCCAGAAACGAUGAUGUUGGUCCCGCACAUGUUAGAUGUGUUACAAUAGAGCUUGCU